UGGGGAAUAUUGCACAAUGGGCGAAAGCCUGAUGCAGCGACGCCGCGUGAGGGAUGACGGCCUUCGGGUUGUAAACCUCUUUCAGUAGGGAAGAAGCGAAAGUGACGGUACCUGCAGAAGAAGCGCCGGCUAACUACGUGCCAGCAGCCGCGGUAAUACGUAGGGCGCAAGCGUUGUCCGGAAUUAUUGGGCGUAAAGAGCUCGUAGGUGGCUUGUCGCGUCUGCCGUGAAAACCCGAGGCUCAACCUCGGGCGUGCGGUGGGUACGGGCAGGCUAGAGUGUGGUAGGGGAGACUGGAACUCCUGGUGUAGCGGUGAAAUGCGCAGAUAUCAGGAAGAACACCGAUGGCGAAGGCAGGUCUCUGGGCCAUUACUGACACUGAGGAGCGAAAGCAUGGGUAGCGAACAGG
Molecule: ribosomal RNA, 409 nt
Filed under: uncultured bacterium
Lineage: Bacteria
Description: bacterial SSU rRNA
Rfam family: Bacterial small subunit ribosomal RNA
Source: RNAcentral